Long non-coding RNA from Cavia porcellus (domestic guinea pig), 2924 nucleotides. RefSeq lists it as uncharacterized. NCBI's taxonomy places the organism in Eukaryota, Metazoa, Chordata, Mammalia, Rodentia, Caviidae. The record is from RefSeq and is a predicted model, not a curated record. The transcript has 2 exons.
GGAAAUAAUUCAUGUGUUCAUAGAACGACAGAGCAUCUAACGUGUAGAUACAGUUCUAGGCUCUGGAGAGAUGAAAUAGAGCAAAGCAGAUUAGAAAAAGGUCCUUGUAGAGGACAGCUUUCUGCAGGGAAUAAUCAAUAAGAAGGGUAAGUAGGUUAAAUAUGGUAAGUGGCACAGAGAAAAACCAACCCAAAGGAACACUGAGAUUGUGGCUGAGAUAUGAGGUCUAGUGGCCACAGAAGGCCUCAACAUGAAUGGCACGACUGGACAGGGACUUGUGGGACAUGACGAGGAGGGUGCCUGUACACCUGCAGAAAGCAAAGCAAAGUGCCUGGCAUGGGGAGGACAUUUUUUUUUUUUUGGUCUUUUUGAGACAGGCUGGCCUUGAGCUCAUUUUGUAGCUCAGGCUGGUCUUGAACUUGCGACGAUCUUCCUGCCUAGGCCUCCCAAGUGCUGGGAUUACAAGCGUGCACACUGGCUCAUGUGCAGAACAGAGGUCGAGGCUAGUGUGGGCUCGGGGGACUGAGUGAGGAAGAGACGCUGGCGAUGAGAUCAUGUAGAUCUAGAGCUCAUGGUGGUGGCUUCAAAUUUCCCUCUGAGAAGCCAGUGGGUGAUUUGGGGCAGAAGAGGGACACCAUGCAUCCUCUGACUGUCUGGUAGACAAAGACUGGAGAGUCUGACCCUGUUUAGCUAGGAGGUAGACAAUACGGGCUGUGGUGGCCGCUGCGGGGUGGAGGAAUGGGGUUGGGCUGAUCCUUUUCCGUGGUAAAUCUGACGGGCUUUAUGAAUGCAGGGUGGGCAGGCUUUGAGAGGUGGUAGCCAACGCUGGUGUCCUGUGUAUCGAGCUACUCAUUGGGAAUAUCUAUCCCGUUUCUCUUUUAAGGCAGCCAUCUGGGACGUACAACUCAGAAACAAGAAAAACCAAUCUCUUCAAAGCCGGCAAGUGGGGGUGGGCACUAAGGCUCACCUACUCAUAAGCAAGUUUUAAAGUUUUUGCUUAUUCUUGAGUUAUUAUUCCAAAAGUAAUCAUUUUCAGAUCACAUUAUUUUUUCAAAUCAUUAGAUAUUAGAAAUGGCAAAUCAAAUGGGAAAGAGGAUUAUUCCCAGAUUUAGAAAAAAAUCAUGUUCACUAGAAAUAGUAGCUGACACCAGAAGAUAAAGAUAAAAACAACUAAAACAUGAAAAAAUGUAAAAGAUAGAGAAGUGAGAAUACUUGGUACAGGGUCUCAUGCUUCUCAGGGCCUCAGAAGACCCUGUUAAAAUAGGAAUGAGUGUAAUAGCCUUUGAAUAGUCUUGUGCCAUUCAAACCAAGUUAGACCGUUUUGAAUUUUUUGGUCAAGGGAAGCAGAGAGGUAAUAGAUGUUUUGCCUCUCAAAGGAAGAAAUGUACUGUGAUUGCUUGGCUGCGUCAGUUUCUAGGGGAGCACAGAGGAUAUUCUGGCAGGUCUCAGUUUUGUGGUUCUAUCUUAGGCAACUGGCUUAACAAACCAGAAGAAAGUAUAGAGGGUUAUUUCACUCCCCUUUCUUUUAAACUUAGAAGCUGCCUCAACUUCCGUUCCCGGGGUCCUUCUUGACAUAUUCCAAAAUCCCAGUGUUAUGGCUUGGUCUUGACAUCCUCCAAGGUCUCAUAUGGUCCUAAGUGGGUCAGAGAUGGCUGGGUCUAGGGUGUGUGGUGCUAGAAUUGAUUCAUGGUGCAACGAUAGCUAGGAUCAAGGGCCCUAGGAUUAAGGGUGAGAGUCUACUAAGUAGCCUGGAUAAAUAUAAAGCAUAGGAAAAGUGUGGUUGUUCCUUGUUGCUUUUCUGCCUUCUGCCCGCCAUGAACUUUUUCUUCUCUUCAAUGCCUAUCUACCCUUUGUCAUCUUUCUUUGGAGCCAGCUGAUUAUAGACUAAAAUCUCUACAAACUGUGAGCUAAAUGAACCUUUUAUCUUUUUAGUUAGGUGUGAGUUAUUUUGUCUCAGCAACAAGAAAAAUAACUAAGACACCUAGAGACAAUUCAAAUGCUUUCACUAAGCUCCAAAGACUCCUAAGAACCAAAUUUCUUUAAAUCUUUCAGCAUUAAACCAGUGUUAUUUUCUGAUUCUUAUUUGGGGAAAAUACAGUGAUACAACCCAUUUAAAUCCAAUUUCUGGCCUAGGGAAAAUAUGGUAAUAUAUAUUACUAGAUUUAGGGUCAACCACCCUGAAUUCAGAUUUUGACGGGUUUAUCAGACAGAUUUGCAUCUUUGGCAAGUUCCUUAACCUGUUUGUGUUACCGUUUUUUAAAGGUCAAGACAGUUAAGACUUUAUAAGGCUGAUAUGAAAAUGAAAUGGAACAGCAUAGAAAAAGCACCUUUCCAUCAUGUCACGUAGUGGACUUUUAGUAACUGGUUUCUUUCUCUCAGGAUUCCAUCUUCUUCCAGCUCCAAGUGAGGAUCAGAAAGGUUGCAUAAUCAUUCAGGAGAGUGAUGAUCAAGGAAUCUGCACUAUGAAUCUCACACACUGAAGUUCCUGGAUAAAAACAUGAAACUGAAAAAAUGCAUCAUAAAAUAAAUGAGUUCUGAUGGCUACAGGAAGAGAGAAGCCUGCGGCCAGCUUUGCUGCAAGGCUGGGAUUCAGAAGCAAACAGACUGCACUUACUGGCAAGGACUGAGCCCAUCCGAGGAGACCAAGCAGCAGAAUCACAGUCUUCAUGUUUCAGAUGGCCACCUAUAACAACAAAACAGUAUCCCCACUUCAGAUCGGCUGCAAAUAAUCACUAAGCUCCUGUAAGUCUCCACAUUGGCAAAUGGAUUCAUUUUCCAAGUCUUUAUAAUUUAAUACAUUUAUUUGCAUAAACUAAGUUCCUGUUCAUUGUUCUGAUUUUCAUUUGAUAAACAUAAUUUUGUCUCCACACCUAGCAGACAUUCAGUGCCAUCUCCUUAUGCUCUAUUCCCAUCUAAUAACAAAA